Molecule: ribosomal RNA, 488 nt
Filed under: uncultured bacterium
Lineage: Bacteria
Description: SSU rRNA
Rfam family: Bacterial small subunit ribosomal RNA
Source: RNAcentral
AGGACGAACGCUGGCGGCGUGCCUAACACAUGCAAGUCGAACGAGGUCCAACCGGUAGCAAUACUGGUGAAGAUCAAGUGGCGAACGGGUGAGUAGCACGUGAGCAACCUGCCCCGAAGACCGGGACAACACCGGGAAACCGGUGCUAAUACCGGAUACCCCCACCGAAUCGCAUGGUUUGGUGAGGAAAUGGAUUCCGCUUCGGGAGGGGCUCGCGGCCUAUCAGCUUGUUGGUGAGGUAACGGCUCACCAAGGCUUCGACGGGUAGCUGGUCUGAGAGGACGAUCAGCCACACUGGGACUGAGACACGGCCCAGACUCCUACGGGAGGCAGCAGUGGGGAAUCUUGCACAAUGGGCGAAAGCCUGAUGCAGCAACGCCGCGUGAGGGACGAAGGCUUUCUGAGUUGUAAACCUCUUUCAGCAGGGACGAUUGUGACGGUACCUGCAGAAGAACGCCCCGGCCAACGUACGUGCCAGCAGCCGCGGU